RNAcentral lists this ribosomal RNA (500 nucleotides) under uncultured bacterium. Its description in RNAcentral is "partial 16S ribosomal RNA". It matches the Rfam family "Bacterial small subunit ribosomal RNA", at positions 28 to 507 of the family's 1533-position model. The record is from RNAcentral.
GACGAACGCUGGCGGCGUGCUUAACACGUGCAAGUCGAACGGGCCUGUCUUCUUUUUUGGGGGGUGGGUUGAGUGGCGAACGGGUGAGUAUCACGUGAGUAACCUGCCCUUCGGUCCUGGAUAACCGCUUGAAAGGGCGGCUAAUACGGGGUGGUCCGGUUGGUCCGCAUGGGCUGGUCGGGAUAGAUUCACUGUUUUUGGUGUUUCGGCGGGGGAUGGGCUCGCGGCCUAUCAGCUUGUUGGUGGGGUGAUGGCCUACCAAGGCGGUGACGGGUAGCCGGCCUGGGGGGGUGGGCGGCCACACUGGGACUGAGAUACGGCCCAGACUCCUGCGGGAGGCAGCAGUGGGGGGUAUUGCACAAUGGGCGGAAGCCUGAUGCAGCGACGUCGCGUGAGGGAUGGAGGCCUUCGGGUUGUGAACCUCUGUUUCCGGUGGUGAAGGCCCUGUCCGUGUGGUGGGGUUGACGGUAGCCGGGGAUGAAGCGCCGGCUAACUACGUG